This 374-nucleotide long non-coding RNA is filed under the name Mytilus galloprovincialis (Mediterranean mussel). The record is from RNAcentral. Lineage: Eukaryota; Metazoa; Mollusca; Bivalvia; Mytilida; Mytilidae.
GCCACCUUCCCCCGGUCCUUCCCUUUAAAAACGCUUUACUGUGCAAGUGAGUUUAAUGACUUUUCCAAUAUUAUAAAAGGUAGUUUACAUACACUUAAACACGUAAACAUAGAUAAUGCUGAGCUAAGUUGCUAAGUUACCAAAAGCAAAACCAAUAGCUAUACAUGUACAUUUAACACUUUGAAGCCCGGAGUCUGAUGUUUGUUAACAUUUUCAUAGCAAAUACACUGCAACUGGAUAUAAUGAUAAUACCCAGGAACAUUAGUAUCAAAUACAUACUAGUGGAUGCGUAUUCGUCAUGCGGCAUGUCACGUGAUAUAUUUAAAAAGUUCACACUUGUAUUUCGCACAAGAACUGUUGCCUUCCCGUUUGUG